Molecule: unclassified non-coding RNA, 377 nt
Filed under: uncultured Actinomycetes bacterium
Lineage: Bacteria; Bacillati; Actinomycetota; Actinomycetes
Description: uncultured actinobacterium contains 16S-23S intergenic spacer region
Source: RNAcentral
UCCGGUUUGGCACCGGCAGUCUCCGACGAGUCCCCGACAUAACUCGCUGGCAACAUCGGACAGGGGUUGCGCUCGUUGCGCCACUUAAGGCAACACCUCACGGCACGAGCUGACGACAGCCAUGCACCACCUGUGCAGGCUCCGAAGAGCACCCGUUUUCACGGGUUUCACCCUGCAUGUCAAGCCCAGGUAAGGUUCUUCGCGUUGCAUCGAAUUAAGCCACAUGCUCCGCCGCUUGUGCGGGUCCCCGUCAAUUCCUUUGAGUUUUAGCCUUGCGGCCGUACUCCCCAGGCGGAGUGCUUAAUGCGUUAGCUGCGGCACAGAGAGGGUUGAAGACCUCCCCACAUCUAGCACUCAACGUUUACGGCUGGGACUAC